CGAGUGGCGGACGGGGGAGUAAUGUCUGGGAAACCGCCCGAUGGAGGGGGAUAACUACUGGAAACGGUAGCUAAUACCGCAUAACGUCGCAAGACCAAAGAGGGGGACCUUCGGGCCUCUUGCCAUCGGAUGUGCCCAGAUGGGAUUAGCUAGUAGGUGGGGUAACGGCUCACCUAGGCGACGAUCCCUAGCUGGUCUGAGAGGAUGACCAGCCACACUGGAACUGAGACACGGUCCAG
RNAcentral lists this ribosomal RNA (239 nucleotides) under uncultured bacterium. RNAcentral's name for it is "partial 16S ribosomal RNA". It matches the Rfam family "Bacterial small subunit ribosomal RNA", at positions 92 to 334 of the family's 1533-position model. The record is from RNAcentral.